Molecule: unclassified non-coding RNA, 348 nt
Filed under: soil metagenome
Description: partial contains 5.8S ribosomal RNA, internal transcribed spacer 2, and large subunit ribosomal RNA
Rfam family: 5.8S ribosomal RNA (bases 1-120)
Source: RNAcentral
GAUGAAGAACGUAGCGAAAUGCGAUAAGUAAUGUGAAUUACAGAAUUCAGUGAAUCAUCGAAUCUUUGAACGCACAUUGCGCCCGCCAGUAUUCUGGCGGGCAUGCCUGUCUGAGCGUCAUUUCAACCCUCAUGCCCCUAGGGCGUGGUGUUGGGGAUCGGCCAAAGCCCGCGAGGGACGGCCGGCCCCUAAAUCUAGUGGCGGACCCGUCGUGGCCUCCUCUGCGAAGUAGUGAUAUUCCGCAUCGGAGAGCGACGAGCCCCUGCCGUUAAACCCCCAACUUUCCAAGGUUGACCUCAGAUCAGGUAGGAAUACCCGCUGAACUUAAGCAUAUCAAUAAGCGGAGGA